This 253-nucleotide ribosomal RNA is filed under the name uncultured bacterium. RNAcentral describes it as "partial 16S ribosomal RNA". It matches the Rfam family "Bacterial small subunit ribosomal RNA", at positions 524 to 776 of the family's 1533-position model. The record is from RNAcentral.
GACGGAGGAUGCAAGCGUUAUCCGGAUUUAUUGGGUUUAAAGGGUGCGUAGGCGGGGAUUUAAGUCAGUGGUGAAGUACUGCAGCUUAACUGUAGCACUGCCAUUGAUACUGAAUUUCUUGAGUGCGGUUGAAGUAGGCGGAAUGUGUAAUGUAGCGGUGAAAUGCUUAGAGAUUACACAGAACACCGAUUGCGUAGGCAGCUUACUAAGCCGUAACUGACGCUGAGGCACGAAAGUGUGGGGAUCGAACAGG